Long non-coding RNA from Topomyia yanbarensis, 1139 nucleotides. RefSeq lists it as uncharacterized. The record is from RefSeq and is a predicted model, not a curated record. The transcript is spliced from 3 exons. Lineage: Eukaryota; Metazoa; Arthropoda; Insecta; Diptera; Culicidae.
UCAGAUUUUAAAAUAGCUUCCUAUUCAGUAACUCCCGUGCCCUGCUGUAAAGAUAGGUUGUUCACUUCUUCCAUCUCCUAUGAUGAAGAAUGAAUACCGGGCGGCUAGAACAAAUGUUCUGCUUGCGUGCAAGCCAAACGACGUUUCUCUCCAUGUCGUCUUCUCUUCGCUAUAGCGCGGACGUUGAACUUACAGGCGAUACGAGGUGCCGACUUAUUUGUCAUGUUCUUGUUUCCCCAACUAUUGGAUCCGAAGAUCACUAAAAAUUGGGUGGAUGAAAUGGUUAGAUGCAAAAUACCAAAGGGGAAACGAGAUGUGGUUCGAUCCCGAUCGGUACCAAAUGAGUUCGUAAUGUAAUUUCCGGUUUCAAAAACCCAAAACUCGUUAAUCUGAGGAUUCACAGUCUCCCUGUUCAACCAUUUCAAGUUACUCAGUGGAAGAAGUUAGAGUGUGCUUGGUAGUGUCGUGAUUUCGUUGAGGGUUAGCGCAAUUAGGAGAUCAGUGAAUGUGUGGAGACUUUGCGGGCAAGUGCGAGGAAACAGAGAGCCGUGCGACGGCUUUUAAUUCCAGAUUUUGCGCCUGGCGAAGCUACCACCGCACCGCCAGCAAAGAUCAUCCCACCUCCUGCCACCACACUCUGGAUUCAAGUUUCCCAUCGAGGAAUUGCGUCAGUUGCAGCAAAAACUCGGACAAAAAAGCGCCGCCACGUGCGUAAUGCGGAAUUACUAAACGCCGUCAACCGGAUCCCUAACAUCCGUAUUUUGAUGCUGGUACGCUGUCCGGAGGUCGGACACUACCAGCAGUUAACUUAAACCUGUGCUAGGACCUCAACAACAGCCUUGGCGCUAGAAAGCGCAAAACAGCCGUUCCGUCGCUGAAUCGUCAUCGUCGAAUUUGGUACAAGCAGCGGGUCACCAGCAGUCGUCGCCGUUGAUGGUGUGAGUACGCAUCGAAAGCAGUGGGAGAUGGUCAGCGAAUAAGUAGAGUGAGUAAACGCCUAAAUUCCCUGCGCAGGGUGACAAAAGCUCGAGAAUAUUAUAGCGUGUUUACACAGUUUCCCACCCGCACUUGUUAGGGCCCUGAACCGGCAUUAGAAAUGUAGAAUAAGUAAAUUAAGAGUAGGAUGUUAGUUUGUAAAA